Molecule: ribosomal RNA, 702 nt
Filed under: uncultured Glomeromycotina
Lineage: Eukaryota; Fungi; Glomeromycota
Description: SSU rRNA
Rfam family: Eukaryotic small subunit ribosomal RNA
Source: RNAcentral
GGGCACGACACCGGAGAGGGAGCCUGAGAAACGGCUACCACAUCCAAGGAUGGCAGCAGGCGCGCAAAUUACCCAAUCCCGACACGGGGAGGUAGUGACAAUAAAUAACAAUACGGGGUUCUUUCGGAUCUCGUAAUUGGAAUGAGUACAAUUUAAAUCUCUUAACGAGGAACAAUUGGAGGGCAAGUCUGGUGCCAGCAGCCGCGGUAAUUCCAGCUCCAAUAGCGUAUAUUAAAGUUGUUGCAGUUAAAAAGCUCGUAGUUGAAUUUCGGGAUCGAAUUGUUGGUCGUGCUUCGGUACGUACUGGCAUUAUUGGUUCCUACCCUCUGAAGAACCGCGAUGUCAUUAAUUUGGUGUCGUGGGGAAUCAGGACUGUUACUUUGAAAAAAUUAGAGUGUUUAAAGCAGGCUUACGCUUGAAUACAUUAGCAUGGAAUAAUGAAAUAGGACGUUUGAUUCUAUUUUGUUGGUUUCUAGGAUCGACGUAAUGAUUAAUAGGGAUAGUUGGGGGCAUUAGUAUUCAAUUGUCAGAGGUGAAAUUCUUGGAUUUAUUGAAGACUAACUACUGCGAGAGCAUUUGCCAAGGAUGUUUUCAUUAAUCAAGAACGAAAGUUAGGGGAUCGAAGACGAUCAGAUACCGUCGUAGUCUUAACCAUAAACUAUGCCGACUAGGGAUCGGAUGAUGUUAAUUUUAUAAUGACUC